AUUCGGCUGACGAGUCCCAAAUAGGACGAAAUGUGCGUCCUGGAU
This is a non-coding RNA of Schistosoma mansoni, 45 nucleotides long. NCBI's taxonomy places the organism in Eukaryota, Metazoa, Platyhelminthes, Trematoda, Strigeidida, Schistosomatidae. The record is from Rfam.